GAUGUAGCUUAGUGGUAGAGCACUUGUCUAGCAUGUGAGAUGCCCUGGGUUCCAUCCCCAGAACAAUA
RNAcentral lists this transfer RNA (68 nucleotides) under Marmota monax (woodchuck). Its description in RNAcentral is "tRNA.Ala". The stretch from base 5 to 61 matches the Rfam family "tRNA", at positions 8 to 63 of the family's 71-position model. From Rfam's summary of the family: Transfer RNA (tRNA) molecules are approximately 80 nucleotides in length. The record is from RNAcentral. Lineage: Eukaryota; Metazoa; Chordata; Mammalia; Rodentia; Sciuridae.